This 468-nucleotide ribosomal RNA is filed under the name uncultured bacterium. RNAcentral describes it as "partial 16S ribosomal RNA". It matches the Rfam family "Bacterial small subunit ribosomal RNA", at positions 28 to 507 of the family's 1533-position model. The record is from RNAcentral.
GACGAACGCUGGCGGCGUGCUUAACACAUGCAAGUCGAACGGAAAGGCCCUGCUUUUGUGGGGUGCUCGAGUGGCGAACGGGUGAGUAACACGUGAGUAACCUGCCCUUGACUUUGGUAUAACUUCAGGAAACUGGGGCUAAUACCGGAUAGGAGCUCCUGCUACAUGGUGGGGGUUGGAAAGUUUCGGCGGUUGGGGAUGGACUCGCGGCUUAUCAGCUUGUUGGUGGGGUAGUGGCUUACCAAGGCUUUGACGGGUAGCCGGCCUGAGAGGGUGACCGGCCACAUUGGGACUGAGAUACGGCCCAGACUCCUACGGGAGGCAGCAGUGGGGAAUAUUGCACAAUGGGCGGAAGCCUGAUGCAGCAACGCCGCGUGCGGGAUGACGGCCUUCGGGUUGUAAACCGCUUUCGCCUGUGACGAAGCGUGAGUGACGGUAAUGGGUAAAGAAGCACCGGCUAACUACGUG